Molecule: ribosomal RNA, 252 nt
Filed under: uncultured bacterium
Lineage: Bacteria
Description: partial 16S ribosomal RNA
Rfam family: Bacterial small subunit ribosomal RNA
Source: RNAcentral
UAAGUUUGAUGGCGACCGGCGCACGGGUGGGUAACACGUAUCCAACCUGCCGAUGACUCGGGGAUAGCCUUUCGAAAGAAAGAUUAAUACCCGAUGGCAUAGUUCUUCCGCAUGGUAGAACUAUUAAAGAAUUUCGGUCAUCGAUGGGGAUGCGUUCCAUUAGGUUGUUGGCGGGGUAACGGCCCACCAAGCCUUCGAUGGAUAGGGGUUCUGAGAGGAGGUCCCCCACAUUGGAACUGAGACACGGUCCAA